RNAcentral lists this ribosomal RNA (252 nucleotides) under uncultured bacterium. RNAcentral describes it as "partial 16S ribosomal RNA". It matches the Rfam family "Bacterial small subunit ribosomal RNA", at positions 524 to 776 of the family's 1533-position model. The record is from RNAcentral.
UACGUAGGUCCCGAGCGUUGUCCGGAUUUAUUGGGCGUAAAGCGAGCGCAGGUGGUUUAUUAAGUCUGGUGUAAAAGGCAGUGGCUCAACCAUUGUAUGCAUUGGAAACUGGUAGACUUGAGUGCAGGAGAGGAGAGUGGAAUUCCAUGUGUAGCGGUGAAAUGCGUAGAUAUAUGGAGGAAAACCGGUGGCGAAGGCAGGUCUCUGGGCCGUUACUGACGCUGAGGAGCGAAAGCGUGGGGAGCGAACAGG